Homo sapiens (human) is the source of this 4569-nucleotide long non-coding RNA. Ensembl annotates it as ADCY10 pseudogene 1. Its record names the gene ADCY10P1. The record is from Ensembl. Lineage: Eukaryota; Metazoa; Chordata; Mammalia; Primates; Hominidae.
GAGCGGCAUGCGACGCCGCCUCUGUGGCCUGUGGAGGCCCGCUUGGCGGCGCUGCUUCCCGACCUACUGGUCUUUCGGAAGCCUCGGGGAUGGGAACCCGAGCUCGCCACGGCCCAGGGCGUCCUCCUAGGCGUCCAUGUGACGGGGUUUACAGCAUUAAUGGACAGGUUCACCCUGACCUACAAGUCGGAACGUGACAUGGACAAACUGGCCCAUAUCUUCAGUUAUUACAUUAGUGACAUCGUGGAGCAUGUUCUCUGUUUUGGAGGGGAUAUCCUAAAUAUCACAGGUCUACCUGCAAGUCGGAUUUCCCAGGUUAUUGUUGGAGAUGAGCGGCAGCAAUACCUCUUGGUGAUUGGGCAGGUUGUAGUGAUGUCCAGUUAGCUCAGCGUUUGGCUCAGGCGAAUGAAAUUGUCCUAUCCUGGAACUGCUGGAUGCUUUGCAAGCAGUAUAUGUUUGAAGUGGCAAUCAUGAGGGAGGAUGAAGCUGUGAAGAGACUCUUAAGAACUGCACUGGAAUUGGAUCCACACUCUGAACUUGACCAAAAGCUGCAGAAGCACAUAAUGAAAAACCUUUUGAAGAAGCUUAUUUCCUAGUUCUUGAAUCCUCAUAGAGUCUCUCUCUCUCUCUCUCUCUCUCUCUCUCUCUCUCUCUCUCUCUCUCUCUCUCUCUCUGUGUGUGUGUGUGUGUGUGUGUGCAUGCACAUGCAUAAACAGGUGUACAAUUAUAAGUGACAACUUUUUUAUAUUUAUCCAGUUAAUCUCCAGCAACCCAUUGUAAUUCCAGCAAAUUUACCCAUCUGUGCCAACAUAAUACUGUGAUGAACAUGUCUUAAACCUUUAGUUAGAUUUCUCAGUCCUAGAAAGUAGAAGCCAUAUUUGUUCUUUAGUUUGUUCUUUAACAAUUUAGUACACUGUAAGAAGGGUAUAGAGUGUAUGUUUGGUAAAUAUAAGUUGACUGAUUGUAUAUAUAUGAAUAUAUGUGAAUUCCUUAGUAAGAGAUGUAAUGACUAAUGGAUGUGUCAAAUUAAUUCUUAGAGAGUAAAUCUUGACAGAUUUCAUCAGUGAAUUCUGCCUAAAGUCAGUUUUAAUUCCAAGUUCAUUGGUUUGUAUAUCUUCUAUACUGAAUUUUCUUUUAAGUUUUUGCUGAGACCCAUAAGUUGUUUUCUCAUACAUACCAUGAAAUACAUAAUUAAAAAUGCCUGAACAUGAUGUUGAUAGUUGAAAAUACAGGUAGGUAACUCAAUGUGUCUUUAUAGAUUGAUGAAGGCCAGCCUAUAGAGUAUGUAUCUGAAUUCCGUACGAUGACUCUGGUUUUGGUCAGCCUAGAGUUCCACAGGACAGCGUGGAUGUUGCAUUUGUGUCAUCUUAUCCAGGAGGCUGCCUUAUACAUCUCCACAGUCAUUGAGAAAGGGGGCGGCCAGCUGAGUCGGAUCUUUAUGUUUGAGAAAGGCUGCAUGUUCCUCUGUGUUUUCGGCCUUCCUGGUGAUAAGAAGCCAGACGAGUGUGCACAUGCCCUGGAGAGCUCCUUCAGCAUCUUCAGCUUCUGCUGGGAGAAUCUUGCUAAGACCAACUGAGGAGGAAGAUCCCUAGAUUUGUUUCCAUCAGUAUCACUAAUGGACCAGUAUUCUGUGGCGUGGUUGGAGCAGUAGCAAGACACGAAUAUACAGUUAUUGGCCCAAAAGUGAGUCUUGCGGCCAGAAUGAUAACUGCUUAUCCAGGUUUGGUGUCCUGUGAUGAGGUAACAUAUCUAAGAUCCAUGCUACCUGCUUACAACUUCAAGAAACUCCCAGAGAAAAUGAUGAAAAACAUCUCCAACCCAGGGAAGAUAUAUGAAUAUCUUGGCCACAGAAGAUGUAUAAUGUUUGGAAAAAGACAUUUGGCAAGAAAGAGAAACAAAAAUCACCCUUUGUUAGGAGUGUUAGGUGCUCCCUGUCUCUCUACAGACUGGGAGAAAGAAUUGGAAGCCUUCCAAAUGGCACAGCAAGGGUGUUUGCACCAGAAGAAGGGACAAGCAGUUCUGUAUGAAGGUGGAAAAGGCUAUGGAAAAAGCCAGCUGUUGGCUGAAAUAAACUUUCUGGCACAGAAAGAAGGGCAUAGGGGACUCCUGAUGACCAUAGUCAUAUUCACCAGGGUGUUGCCAUUGAUGCUGAAGGAAGCAGAUUCCAAGCAGUGCUUCUAUGCCAUCCAGACCCUCAUGGCCAUCUUCUUUGAGAUUGAUACAUGCCCAGCCUAUUACCGGCAAGAGUGCCUACAAAGACAGCUUUGUGGGAUAGUGGAAGAACAACUUCACUGCCUUUUUAGUGACCUCUUAUUUGUGAAGCUACCCUUCACAGGUGCUUUGGAAACCCACUUUAUUGUGAGGUCCUAUGCCAGGACCUUCUCUCUAAGGACGUGUUGCUCUUUCAUGUCCUACAAAAGGAGGAAGAGGAAAACAGCAAGUGGGAAACCCUCUCAGCCAAUGCCAUGAAAUCCAUAAUGUAUAGUAUUUCUCCUGCCAACUCUGAGGAAGGCCAGGAACUUUAUGUCUGCACAGUCAAGGAUGAUGUGAACUUGGAUACAGUACUUCUCCUACCCUUUUUGAAAGAGUAGACAGUAAGCAAAGAAGAUGAUGUUGCUAAGAUUUAAGAAAAUCCAUGGUGUUAGUGAAGAUACAAUGUUAUGCACAUAGCAAGAGUUUAAUAAAAAAAGAGUGCAAAGUAGAAUGACUGAUGCCAUAAAGAAUAAUGAAACUAUCAGAAUCAGAAAUAGCAGUAAGCCAACUGGAUCAACUGAGCCCAGAGGAACAGUUGCUGGUCAAGUGUGCUGCAAUCAUUGGUCACUCCUUCCAUAUAGAUUUGCUGCAGCACCUCCUGCCUGGCUGGGAUAAAAAUAAGCUACUUCAGGUCUUGAGAGCUCUUGUGGAUAUACAUGUGCUCUGCUGGUCUGACAAGAGCCAAGAGCUUCCUGCUGAGCCCAUAUUAAUGCCUUCCUCUAUCGACAUCAUUGAUGGAACCAAAGAGAAGAAGACAAAGUUAGAUGGUGGGUCAGCCUCUCUUCUCAGGCUACAAGAAGAAUUAUCCCUACCACAAACUGAGGUGUUGGAAUUUGGAGUGCCUCUGCUACGGGCAGCUGCUUGGGAGCUCUGGCCCAAGGAACAACAGAUAGCUCUGCACCUUGAAUGUGCCUGCUUUCUCCAAGUUUUGGCCUGCCGCUGUGGGAGCUGCCAUGGAGGAGACUUUGUCCCCUUUCAUCAUUUUGCAGUUUGUUCUACUAAGAAUUCCAAGGGGACCUCUCGAUUCUGUACUUACAGAGAUACUGGCUCAGUGCUAACACAAGUGAUCACAGAAAAAUUGCAGCUGCCUUCUCCCCAAGAUAGUUUUCAGUUCCAGACAAAACCAUCCAGAACUCAGGAGGCCUUCUCAAGUGAAUGCUGCAGAACAGAGGAAGAGUUCCUAGAUCAAGUGAAGAGGAAGCUGGCUCAGACCAGCCCUGAGAAAGACCUGUUGACCACAAAGCCUUGUCACUGUAAGGAUAUCCUGAAGUUAGUGCUCUUACCCCUCACCCAGCAUUGCUUGGUCGUUGGAGAAACCACCUGUGCAUUUUAUUACCUGCUGGAGGCUGCGGCUGCCUGCUUGGACCUGUCAGAUAAUUAUAUGUAAGAAGAAUUUGGCAGUCCUGCAGCAGCAGGUGCAUUGCCUCUCCCUACUCUGGCAGCUCUAUAACCUGGAGGCCACAGCCAGUAGCUACAGGUUUGCCUGCCUGGCUACUCUUAUGCAGAAGAAUUCAGCUGAUGAGUUUGCAAAUGAAGCCCAGGUUGUCUCUACCUAUGUGGAGCUCUCUCAGUUCUCCCAGAGUGUGGGCAUCAAGGACAAGUGGCUGCACUGUGAGCAGAUGGCCAUUCAGAAAAGCAGUUUAUGUUGGUUCUCCAGGGAGGGGUUGUUGGCCACAGCUCAGCUCAUGCAGGCCCUGGCCUACACCAAGCUCUGCCUUGGUCAUCUUGACUUCUCCAUCAAGCUGGGAUUGCUGUGUCGGCCCUUUAGUGAGUGUCUGCGUUUCGUUCAAGUCUACGAGCACAGCCGUGUUCUAACCUCUCAGAGCAAUGUCAUGCUGGGGGUCCACUCCUCCCUGGCCAUGUGUACUGUAAGGAGUUCUUCUCUCAAUGUGUGACCUGCCCUGUCUAUCACCAGUGGGUAUCUGAGCUUAAGGCCUCUGUAAUGAGAUGUGAAAAGAGAGAAUUGAUGUCCCUGACUAACAGCAUCAGACCUUUUGACACCUGCUUGACCAGGAUUUGGAUAAAAGGAGAAUUUCUGCAGGAAAAUAACUCUUAGAAAAGAAACUUAGGAAUACAGAGAUUUGACAGAGUGGCUGAUGUCAAGGAGAACAAGGAUGCAGAAGAAACUCAAGAUGUAUGUAUUAAAACAAAAGAACAAUAACCUGAAGGGACCAUGAUUCUGUUAUUGUAUAUAACACAAGGAAAUGCCCCAGAUUCUCCUUUAAAAGAUAUAAUGUACAUAUUAAGUAUACUAGCCUUUAUAGUUACUGCUAUCUACAUGUUUAUCAAAAUAAAAGACUAUUUUUUUCUAAAACA